GACGAACGCUGGCGGCGUGCUUAACACAUGCAAGUCGAACGAUUAUCUCCCGCUUGCGGGGGUGUUUAGUGGCGAACGGGUGAGUAAUACGUGAGUAACCUGCCCUUGACUCUGGGUUAAGCCUGGGAAACCGGGUCUAUUACUGGAAACUACUUCCUGCCGCAUGGUGGGGGCUUGAGAGGGUUUUACUGGGUUUGGAUGUGCUCACGGGCUAACAGCUUGUUGGUGGAGUAAUGGCUCACCCAGGCGACGACGGGUAGCCGGCCUGAGGGGGUGAGCGGCCGCACAGAGACUGAGAGACGGCCCAGACGGCGACGGGAGGAAGCAGGGGGGAAUAUUGCACAAGGGGCGGCAGCCGGAUGAAGAGAGGCCGCGUGAGGGAUAACGGCCUUAGGGUUGUAGAACUCUUGCAGCAGGGAAGAAGCCACAAGUGACGGUACCUGCAGAAGAAGCGCCGGCUAACUACGUG
This 469-nucleotide ribosomal RNA is filed under the name uncultured bacterium. RNAcentral's name for it is "partial 16S ribosomal RNA". It matches the Rfam family "Bacterial small subunit ribosomal RNA", at positions 28 to 507 of the family's 1533-position model. The record is from RNAcentral.